GCAUACUUCACUAAACUAGUAAAAAAUCAGUUACUUCCAUAAUCAACCCUAAUGUAAUCUUCACCCCCAUGUAGUCACUGAAUCACCGUUUUCCCCCUCAUUCAAAGAAACCCAAAUUUCCUUAGUGUCAUUUUGUCAAACAUUUCACGUGCAUAACCCGGGAACCCACAAAAAUAGACAAUUUCGUUUGCCUAUUCAACAAUAACUGCAGUGAUUUG
Molecule: long non-coding RNA, 218 nt
Filed under: Gossypium barbadense (sea-island cotton)
Lineage: Eukaryota; Viridiplantae; Streptophyta; Magnoliopsida; Malvales; Malvaceae
Description: long non-coding RNA (GBAR_LNC014146)
Source: RNAcentral